Molecule: ribosomal RNA, 397 nt
Filed under: uncultured bacterium
Lineage: Bacteria
Description: partial 16S ribosomal RNA
Rfam family: Bacterial small subunit ribosomal RNA
Source: RNAcentral
AUACGUAGGGGGCGAGCGUUGUCCGGAAUGAUUGGGCGUAAAGGGCGCGUAGGCGGCCCGGUAAGUCUGGAGUGAAAGUCCUGUUUUUAAGAUGGGAAUUGCUUUGGAUACUGUCGGGCUUGAGUGCAGGAGAGGUAAGUGGAAUUCCCAGUGUAGCGGUGAAAUGCGUAGAGAUUGGGAGGAACACCAGUGGCGAAGGCGACUUACUGGACUGUAACUGACGCUGAGGCGCGAAAGUGUGGGGAGCAAACAGGAUUAGAUACCCUGGUAGUCCACACUGUAAACGAUGAAUGCUAGGCGUAGGGGGUAUCGACCCCUUCUGUGCCGCAGUCAACACAAUAAGCAUUCCGCCUGGGGAGUACGGCCGCAAGGUUGAAACUCAAAGGAAUUGACGGGG